CUGACGACCGCGUAUGGGUCGAUGUCGGUCUCGACAGCCCAUCACUCGCAAAAGGUAAAGCAAAGGUGGGUGAACGCGUGACAGUCAG
RNAcentral lists this non-coding RNA (88 nucleotides) under unclassified sequences. RNAcentral describes it as "L4-Archaeoglobi ribosomal protein leader". It matches the Rfam family "L4-Archaeoglobi ribosomal protein leades". The record is from RNAcentral.